This 587-nucleotide ribosomal RNA is filed under the name uncultured ciliate. RNAcentral describes it as "SSU rRNA". It matches the Rfam family "Eukaryotic small subunit ribosomal RNA", at positions 347 to 951 of the family's 1831-position model. Lineage: Eukaryota; Ciliophora. The record is from RNAcentral.
UGGCAGUCACGGGUAACGGGGAAUUAGGGUUCGAUUCCGGAGAGGGAGCCUGAGAAAUGGCUACCACUUCUAAGGAAGGCAGCAGGCGCGUAAAUUACCCAAUCCUGAUUCAGGGAGGUAGUGACAAGAAAUAACAACUCGGUACCCUCACGGGUAUGCGGGAUUGAAAUGAGAACAAUUUAAACCACUUAUCCAGUAACAAUUGGAGGGCAAGUCUGGUGCCAGCAGCCGCGGUAAUUCCAGCUCCAAUAGCGUAUAUUAAAGUUGUUGCAGUUAAAAAGCUCGUAGUUGAAUUUCUGGCCAGCCUUGUUCUGCGCAUUAGCCGGUUCAAGGUUUGGUCAUCCGUAGGGGAAACAGGUUCGUACUUCACUGUACGGCCUGCGGAACCUACAAUUUACUGUGAAAAAAUUAGAGUGUUCCAGGCAGGCAAUCGCUUGAAUACUCCAGCAUGGAAUAAUGGAAUAAGACUUUAGUCGAUUUGUUGGUUUGAGGCUAAAGUAAUGAUUAAUAGGGACAGUUGGGGGCAUUCGUAUUUAAUUGUCAGAGGUGAAAUUCUUGGAUUUAUUAAAGACGAACUUAUGCGAAAG